RNAcentral lists this long non-coding RNA (404 nucleotides) under Lathyrus oleraceus (garden pea). RNAcentral describes it as "Pisum sativum (pea) long non-coding RNA (PSAT_LNC042211)". The record is from RNAcentral. Lineage: Eukaryota; Viridiplantae; Streptophyta; Magnoliopsida; Fabales; Fabaceae.
ACAAAUCUACAUGUAUGACUCGCACCCUACUCUGAGGGACCUAGGGUGUUCAAGUAAUACCUAAGUUUUCAAACUUUCCCAAUGUCCAUAGUCCUAGUCUAUCUUCCCUCAAACUAUAUAUACUUUCCCAUUUUCCCCACAACCGAAGCUUGUCAUUUAAAAAAAUUGUAAUAUCCUAGAUUUAGGAAAAGCUACGAAAAUAUGGUCUUAUUGCAAAAACCAACUAGAAAUAGAAAAAAACAAGAAAUAAAUAUGAACAUAAAAAUGAAAGAAAUAAAAGUGCAAGAAAAAUAAAGAAAGGUGCAAGAAAAUAAAGAAGUACCCCCAAACUUGAACCAAACAUUGUCCUCAAUGUUUUAGCGCAAGCAAGAGGGGGUGAACUCACAAUGGGAAUUGCAACAUGA